CAGUUCAGAUUGCAGGCUGCAAUCGCCUGCAUGAAGUCGGAAUUGCUAGUAAUCGCAGAUCAGCAUGCUGCGGUGAAUACGUUCCCGGGCCUUGUACACACCGCCCGUCACACCAUGGGAGUCGGUAACACCCGAAGUCGGUAGCCUAACCGUAAGGAGGGCGCCGCCGAAGGUGGGAUUGAUGACUGGGGUGAAGUCGUAACAAGGUACC
This 211-nucleotide ribosomal RNA is filed under the name uncultured bacterium. RNAcentral describes it as "partial 16S ribosomal RNA". It matches the Rfam family "Bacterial small subunit ribosomal RNA", at positions 1289 to 1500 of the family's 1533-position model. The record is from RNAcentral.